This 148-nucleotide ribosomal RNA is filed under the name Lactarius sp. P-229. RNAcentral describes it as "5.8S ribosomal RNA". It matches the Rfam family "5.8S ribosomal RNA". From Rfam's summary of the family: 5.8S ribosomal RNA (5.8S rRNA) is a component of the large subunit of the eukaryotic ribosome. It is transcribed by RNA polymerase I as part of the 45S precursor that also contains 18S and 28S rRNA. Functionally, it is thought that 5.8S rRNA may be involved in ribosome translocation. The record is from RNAcentral. Lineage: Eukaryota; Fungi; Basidiomycota; Agaricomycetes; Russulales; Russulaceae.
CAACUUUCAACAACGGAUCUCUUGGCUCUCGCAUCGAUGAAGAACGCACCGAAAUGCGAUACGUAAUGUGAAUUGCAGAAUUCAGUGAAUCAUCAAAUCUUUGAACGCACCUUGCCCCCCUUGGUAUUCAGAGGGGCACACCCGUUUG